GAUGAACGCUAGCUACAGGCUUAACACAUGCAAGUCGAGGGGAAACGAUAUUGGAAGCUUGCUUCCGAUAGGCGUCGACCGGCGCACGGGUGAGUAACGCGUAUCCAACCUGCCCACCACUUGGGGAUAACCUUGCGAAAGUAAGACUAAUACCCAAUGAUAUCUCUAGACGACAUCUGAAAGGGAUUAAAGAUUUAUCGGUGAUGGAUGGGGAUGCGUCUGAUUAGCUUGUUGGCGGGGUAACGGCCCACCAAGGCAACGAUCAGUAGGGGUUCUGAGAGGAAGGUCCCCCCANAUUGGAACUGAGACACGGUCCAAACUCCUACGGGAGGCAGCAGUGAGGAAUAUUGGUCAAUGGGCGUGAGCCUGACCAGCCAAGUAGCGUGCGGGACGAAGGCCCUAUGGGUUGUAAACCGCUUUUUCAGGGGGUAUAAAGUGGGUCACGUGUGACUUUUUGCAUGUACCUUAUGAAUAAGGACCGGCUAAUUCCGUG
RNAcentral lists this ribosomal RNA (493 nucleotides) under uncultured bacterium. Its description in RNAcentral is "bacterial SSU rRNA". It matches the Rfam family "Bacterial small subunit ribosomal RNA", at positions 28 to 507 of the family's 1533-position model. The record is from RNAcentral.